GUGGGGAAUAUUGCACAAUGGGCGCAAGCCUGAUGCAGCAACGCCGCGUGAGGGAUGACGGCCUUCGGGUUGUAAACCUCUUUUAGUAGGGAAGAAGCGUAAGUGACGGUACCUGCAGAAAAAGCACCGGCUAACUACGUGCCAGCAGCCGCGGUAAUACGUAGGGUGCAAGCGUUGUCCGGAAUUAUUGGGCGUAAAGAGCUCGUAGGCGGCUUGUCGCGUCUGCUGUGAAAACCCGAGGCUCAACCUCGGGCUUGCAGUGGGUACGGGCAGGCUAGAGUGCGGUAGGGGAGAGUGGAAAUUCCUGGUGUAGCGGUGGAAUGCGCAGAUAUCAGGAGGAACACCGAUGGCGAAGGCAGAUCUCUGGGCCGUAACUGACGCUGAGGAGCGAAAGCAUGGGGAGCGAACAGGAUUAGAUACCCGGGUAGUCC
RNAcentral lists this ribosomal RNA (431 nucleotides) under uncultured bacterium. Its description in RNAcentral is "partial 16S ribosomal RNA". It matches the Rfam family "Bacterial small subunit ribosomal RNA", at positions 354 to 796 of the family's 1533-position model. The record is from RNAcentral.